RNAcentral lists this transfer RNA (73 nucleotides) under Stegodyphus mimosarum. It matches the Rfam family "tRNA". Rfam says of the family: Transfer RNA (tRNA) molecules are approximately 80 nucleotides in length. Lineage: Eukaryota; Metazoa; Arthropoda; Arachnida; Araneae; Eresidae. The record is from Rfam by way of RNAcentral.
GCCUUCGUGGUGUAGUGGUCAACACGCUCGACGCGUAUUUGAAGGGUCCGUGGUUCGAAUCCCGCCGAGAGCA